This is an RNA transcript of Rhinopithecus roxellana (golden snub-nosed monkey), 1383 nucleotides long. It is a transcript of the gene named microtubule interacting and trafficking domain containing 1, with no coding region annotated. Lineage: Eukaryota; Metazoa; Chordata; Mammalia; Primates; Cercopithecidae. The transcript is spliced from 7 exons. The record is from RefSeq and is a predicted model, not a curated record.
GCUUAACUUCAGCCUGGGUUGAGGUGGAGGAGAAUUCCCGGAAUUAUGGCGAAGUCCGGGCUGGGGCAGGAUCCUCAGAGCACAGCUGCAGCCACUGUGCUCAAGCGGGCGGUAGAACUAGAUUCGGAGUCGCGGUAUCCGCAGGCUCUCGUGUGUUACCAAGAGGGGAUUGAUCUGCUCCUGCAGGUUCUGAAAGGUACCAAAGAUAAUACUAAGAGAUGUAAUCUCAGAGAAAAAAUUUCCAAAUACAUGGACAGAGCGGAAAACAUAAAGAAGUACUUGGAGCAAGAAAAAGAAGAAGCUAAAGAAACUCCUGGGAUUUCCCUCAGAUUUUGUUGUGAAUCAAAACACCUCAGGAGUUAAGCAUUCCUAAUGAUUAGAGGUCAGAUGGAAAAUAUCACAAGCAAAUUAAAAUAGAAGAGAAUGCAACAGGUUUCAGUUAUGAGUCACUUUUUCGCGAAUAUCUUAAUGAGACAGUUACAGAAGUUUGGAUAGAAGAUCCUUAUAUUAGACAUACUCAUCAGCUGUAUAACUUUCUUCGAUUUUGUGAGAUGCUUAUUAAGAGACCAUGUAAAGUAAAAACUAUUCACCUUCUCACCUCUCUGGAUGAAGGCACUGAGCAAGUGCAGCAAAGUAGGGGCCUGCAAGAAAUAGAAGAGUCACUCAGGAGUCAUGGAGUGCUGUUGGAAGUGCAGUACUCUUCUUCAAUACAUGACCGAGAAAUUAGGUUCAACAAUGGAUGGAUGAUUAAGAUUGGAAGGGGACUUGAUUAUUUUAAGAAACCACAGGUAGGAUAUAAUCUCAUGAGUAUAUGUGUAGCACUGUUUUUGUGUCAUUUUUAAUGAUACUCUUUUCUUCUCUUCUUAGAGUCGUUUUUCCCUUGGAUAUUGUGAUUUUGAUUUAAGACCAUGUCAUGAAACAACAGUGGACAUUUUUCAUAAGAAACAUACAAAAAAUAUAUGAUGGGCAGUAGCCUAAUUUGUAUUAUGUCUAUUUUAUGUGAAUAUUGGAUUUUUUUUAAAAGAUCACUUUUAUAAUGUAUGAAUUUAACAACAAACUUUUAUAUUUCUACUAAUUUAUGGAUCCAUCAUUCGGUUGUGGGAACAAUCCUAAAUAUUUUUGUAACUAUAUUACUCAGUAGAUUUACCAUGUUUCUUUCAAGUAAUACAGCUAAUUUAAACAUUUUACCAGCUUUUCUGUUACUUGGCUGUGGGAGCAUGUCAACAAAUAAUGAGCAUCUGUUAGGAAGAUGGAUUAGAUCUGAAUUUUGCCUGUGGGAGUUGUGAGUCCAGGCGGGAAAGACACCAUGGAUUAGAGUGCCUUUAAAGAGACAGAUGCAGCUUGGAGCUUGGGCAACCUGUUUCUGCAAAAAAAAAAAAAAAA